RNAcentral lists this transfer RNA (75 nucleotides) under archaeon. Its description in RNAcentral is "tRNA-Ile". It matches the Rfam family "tRNA". From Rfam's summary of the family: Transfer RNA (tRNA) molecules are approximately 80 nucleotides in length. Their secondary structure includes four short double-helical elements and three loops (D, anti-codon, and T loops). The record is from RNAcentral.
GCUCCGGUAAUUCAAUGGGAGAAUAGGCGACUUAUAAUCGCUCUAUGGAAGGUUCGAAUCCUCCCCGGAGUACCA